Molecule: ribosomal RNA, 490 nt
Filed under: uncultured bacterium
Lineage: Bacteria
Description: partial 16S ribosomal RNA
Rfam family: Bacterial small subunit ribosomal RNA
Source: RNAcentral
AGGGAAAGAGGGAGGAAGGAAGAACACAUGCAAGUCGAACGGUAACAGGAAGCAGCUUGCUGCUUCGCUGACGAGUGGCGGACGGGUGAGUAAUGUCUGGGAAGCUGCCUGAUGGAGGGGGAUAACUACUGGAAACGGUAGCUAAUACCGCAUAAUGUCGCAAGACCAAAGAGGGGGACCUUCGGGCCUCUUGCCAUCGGAUGUGCCCAGAUGGGAUUAGCUUGUUGGUGGGGUAACGGCUCACCAAGGCGACGAUCCCUAGCUGGUCUGAGAGGAUGACCAGCCACACUGGGACUGAGACACGGUCCAGACUCCUACGGGAGGCAGCAGUGGGGAAUAUUGCACAAUGGGCGCAAGCCUGAUGCAGCCAUGCCGCGUGUAUGAAGAAGGCCUUCGGGUUGUAAAGUACUUUCAGCGGGGAGGAAGGGAGUAAAGUUAAUACCUUUGCUCAUUGACGUUACCCGCAGAAGAAGCACCGGCUAACUCCGUG